This 460-nucleotide ribosomal RNA is filed under the name uncultured bacterium. RNAcentral's name for it is "partial 16S ribosomal RNA". It matches the Rfam family "Bacterial small subunit ribosomal RNA", at positions 338 to 795 of the family's 1533-position model. The record is from RNAcentral.
CCUACGGGAGGCAGCAGUGAGGAAUAUUGGUCAAUGGGCUUACGCCUGAACCAGCCAAGUCGCGUGAGGGAAGACUGCCCUAUGGGUUGUAAACCUCUUUUGUCAGGGAGCAAUUGGCGCUACGUGUAGCGUUAUCGAGAGUACCUGAAGAAAAAGCAUCGGCUAACUCCGUGCCAGCAGCCGCGGUAAUACGGAGGAUGCGAGCGUUAUCCGGAUUUAUUGGGUUUAAAGGGUGCGUAGGCGGAAUGCCAAGUCAGCGGGAAAAUCGCGGGGCUCAACCUCGCUCUGCCGUUGAAACUGGCGUUCUUGAGUGGGCGAGAAGUAUGCGGAAUGCGUGGUGUAGCGGUGAAAUGCAUAGAUAUCACGCAGAACUCCGAUUGCGAAGGCAGCAUACCGGCGCCCAACUGACGCUGAAGCACGAAAGCGUGGGUAUCGAACAGGAUUAGAUACCCCGGUAGUC